CACUGGCACAACUUUGGUUUUUAGGCUCUUAUGCCAUUUAUUUUAAUUGCCCAGACAUCAAUUCCAUCUAAAUUCUUAGUUAUAGCCUGGUUCCUUGAAUUUGCUGGAUUAGUAACCACAGGUUAAGGCGUUUCAAUAGUUAAGACAGGACUUUGGAACAAGAGUUUUUAAAUUGUAUAAUACUUGAGAGGAUCUAUGAAUAUAAAUUGGGUCCUGUUUAUAAUUAGUUUUACAUAGUGAACUUUAAGAUUGCCUUUUCAUGGUUAACAGAAGUUUGGAAAUUACUGUUUUGGCACAAAGCAGAUUAUCUUAAUAGAAAUACAGAAUUACUGCAAUCUGUGAACAAGACUGCUUUUAAAUAUUUCUACUUGUGUGCUAUCUUAAAUAUAGAAUGUGUACGACAGUUCCAAAUUUUAGAAUAAAUCCAUUUCUAGCAUCUAACAAAAUCUGAUACUGUAUCAUUUUAAAACAAAGUGUUUACUUUAGGCAGGAUUUCUUAAAAUAAAGCAGCAACACCCACGCAGAUAAGACAAAAAAGCUAAAAUAUCUCACACCUCCUAAUCCUGGAGUGCAAUCUUUUUUCCUCAUCCUUUUUGAUAGGGCCAAACUUGUGUCUACAGUAAAAAAAAAAGAAUUACUAACUGGCAACCAUUAAGAUUCUAUACUUACCAUAGUCCUUUAAUAGGCAAGCUGAUAAAAUAGCCCCCAGUUAUUAAAAAAAAAAAAAAUCCAAGGAAAACCCCCAAUAAUUAGUCUUAUCUCCAAAUUGCAGGAAGUCUCCUAUAUCUGAAACUUAAAAAUGAUUCUAAUGACUUCCUCUAUCAGUAAUGUGGUAUCACUGAGGUGGGUGAUGGGGAGGGAAGAGGGAAGAAAUCUGUCAAUAUUACCUUCAAACUCAGAAAUGUUUAAAAAAAAGUCUCAAACAUUUUGAUAGUUAGACAGAACACCUCCACUGUUAUGUAUGGUCUUCCUUUUUCGAAACUUACGAACUUGCUAUGUGAGCUUCUGCAAAUCGGUUCAAAAGCACAUUUAAGGAGUUGAUAAUUUAAGACUAUAUGAAUCAGAAUUUUAACACUCCAUUAAAAGAGCUGAAAUUUUUGGCAUAUAUCUUCAGAACACCUAAAAAACAGACUGCAAAUUCAACUCACAUUAAUACUAAAUCUCUUUAAAAUUAACUAUAUCAUAAAAGACAAUGACUUUGUCACUAAACUAAGUUUUAAAAAAGGUGGCAUUCUCAUGUUUCAGUCCCAUGCUGCCAUUUGAGAUGAAAAAAAGGCAACUGUCAGAAUUUUAAUUGUGAUCAGUUUGGACGGCUGGUACUUGGUACUUUCUCACAAUCCAAAUUAGUAAACUUGAAAACUCAAACCAAUUUUUGCUUUUAGAAUUAAAUUCUUGUUGAGUUUUUCAAUCUUGUACUACAAAGCCUUAUGGAUUAGAUUCAUUUCUUUCUCUCACAAGAUCAUCCCAACCGGGCUCCAUUUCAGUUGUGGCAACCCGAAACAGGGCUUGGAGAUGCUCAUCUGUCAAUGGCUGACUCAAAGUGUGUUGGUUUCGAGUCAAAUAUGAAAAAGCCUUUUCACAGAUUUGGUUACUAUCAAACAAGGAUGCCACCUUACAGGCAACCCCUUUGAUAAUUGGGUAGGAUUCAGCAGACAAUCCAGCAUAAAACUGCCCCAAGUCUUUGACUCUGUAUUCAUUCCAAAGAUUAGUGUUUGCCUGAAGUUUUGUUAGCUCCACCCUCACUGAAAUAGGUGCAUAUUCAGGUUUAAAGUUAAAUGGAUUUGAAAAAAGUUCUAAGUCCUUUUUAAUGAACCUGAGGUCCUUAAAAUGUCUCUCAAAUUCUUUUUGGAGACGACAGAUCACCAUUUGAUACCUAUCAGGAUCAAAUAUUUUUUGAUCUUCCUUAUUUUGCUGUUUUAGCUCAUCAACAACUUCUCUGAGGGCAGGAAAGUCUGUUAGAUUUUUUUCCUCAAUAUGUCUUUGAAAUAAAUUCAGCUUAACUUCGAAAGUACAAAUAUGGUCAAAGGCAGCAGCAGCAAAGACUUUACUAACUUGUAAUUCUUCACUGAGUUCUCGAAGGUGUUCCAUAAUGUCCACCAAGAAGCCAAAGUCACAAAGCCAUUGUUUGUCUGAGAAGUGGACUGUUGUUGCCCCUACUGAAACCAAGAACGCUUCCAUUUCUUUUCUUAGCGAGAAUAUUAGUUUUAAAGUCUUCCCUCUCCUAAGCCAAUUGUUCAGACAUCGUCCAUUAACCCUUUCGCCAUGCUCUGAUUCAGAUUCAGUUAGUAGAGUCUGAAAUUCAGGUCGUCUAACGCCUCUGGUCUUAAUCAAAACUAUCCAUUCGGAUAUGGUAUUUAUGAUCUGAUUAACAUCUACAUCAUAGGAGCUCAACAGUUCCAAGUGAAGAAAUCCUGAAUAAUGAAUGACAUUCCAACAGUUGGGGCUUACGGCCUUUUCUCUCAUGUAUGAGACGAGUCCUGAGUUCUCACCAAUCAUCCUCAAAGUAUGCGUCGUGGUCAGUCCAACCAUUCUCUGCAAGCUAAGCCCUGCUGUCUGCAGGGCCUCUAGGAUUGCCGACAUGAGCGCACCAACACUGAAAUGAUGAGUCAGGUUGAUUAUGGUCAGAAGAUCUUCUUGCACCUCCAACUCAGGGCCUACACCGCGGAUAAAGACCAGGAGGUAGUUCUCAUAGGCCACAAAAGCCUGGUCGUCCAAGGCAAGAGAAUAGGCUUUAAAGUCCCUGGCUCGGUUAAAAAGCUGGUUGCGUAGAUUCCUGUCAAUGCUCAGGAUCCUCUGCCUCGUGAUCUCUGGAGAUAAGUCAACGCCUUGCAAGACGCUUACAUGCUCGGGCAGUACCUCUCUCAGCAAUACCUCCAUGCACUGGUAUACAAAGUCCCCCUCACCCCAGCCGCGACCCUUCAAGGCCAAGAGGCGGCAGAGCCCGAGGCCUGCACGAGCAGCUCUCUCUUCAGGAGUGAAGGAGGCCACGGGCAAGUCGCCCUGACGCAGACGCUCCACCAGGGCCGCGCGCUCGCCGUCCGCCACAUACCGCUCGUAGUAUUCGUGCUCAGCCUCGUAGUGGCGCCUGACGUCGCGUUCGCGGGUAGCUACGAUGAGGCGGCGACAGACCAGGCACAGGGCCCCAUCGCCCUCCGGAGGCUCCACCACCAAAUAACGCUGGGUCCACUCGGGCCGGAAAACUAGAGCCUCGUCGACUUCCAUCUUGCUUCUUUUGGGCGUCAUCCACAUUCUGCGGGAGGCCACAAGAGCAGGGCCAACGUUGGAAAGGCCGCAAGAGGAGAGGAGGAGCCUGAGAAGCGCCAAGCACCUCCUCCGCUCUG
RNAcentral lists this long non-coding RNA (3341 nucleotides) under Pongo abelii (Sumatran orangutan). Its description in RNAcentral is "lncRNA (ENSPPYG00000014022.2)". Lineage: Eukaryota; Metazoa; Chordata; Mammalia; Primates; Hominidae. The record is from RNAcentral.